Molecule: transfer RNA, 96 nt
Filed under: Lactiplantibacillus plantarum
Lineage: Bacteria; Bacillati; Bacillota; Bacilli; Lactobacillales; Lactobacillaceae
Description: tRNA-OTHER
Rfam family: tRNA
About the family: Transfer RNA (tRNA) molecules are approximately 80 nucleotides in length. Their secondary structure includes four short double-helical elements and three loops (D, anti-codon, and T loops).
Source: RNAcentral
GCGAGCGUAGUUCAACGGUAGAACAAUUUUUCUUUAAUUUUUCCCUCGUUUCGAUACCCCGAAACCACUAUGCAGGUUCAACUCCUGCCGCUCGCU